GCCGAUUGGUCUCUGCUUUUCCUUGCCUGUGGCAACUGACAGCACCUCCCAGCCUAGCAGGCCGGCUGCCUGCUCCCCCAGCCAGUCGGUGGGUCUGGGCACUGCAGCAGGCUGGGCUCUGUCCCAGCACUUGUCUGGGAGAAAAGUGGUGUACUCACCCAGAGAGAAUCUCUUUUUCCACCUUCCUUCUUUCUCGAUCUCUCUGUGUGCUUUUGCGUUUCUUUUCUUUCUUUCUUUCUUUUUUUUUUUUUCUUACUUAAUUAUAUUCCUAAUCCUGGAUGAAGUUGCUGGAUUCUGCAGCACAAGUCUUCAUGAACAAGCAGCACCGCUCAGAGAUUUCACGGCAUUCAAAGGUCACAGAACUGCCACUAUGGUUAAAUGUCUUGUUUAAUGGUUGAGAGGUGUGGUGAACUCUUGUUUGAAAACCCUGAUCAGAAUGUCAAAUGUGUUUGCAUGCUAGCAGUUCCAUCCUUUGGGCCCUGACGUUGAUUUUCCUCAUCUUGGUGCCUGAAGAGCCAGAGUGAUUCCUUUUGUCCCAUUGCCCUGACCAUGUGCAGUGAUACCCGCAGUGCAGGAGGUGGAAGCCCCCGCUCUUCAGGUAUCAGAAGGGGUG
This is a long non-coding RNA of Pteropus alecto (black flying fox), 613 nucleotides long. RefSeq lists it as uncharacterized. The record is from RefSeq and is a predicted model, not a curated record. The transcript is spliced from 3 exons. Lineage: Eukaryota; Metazoa; Chordata; Mammalia; Chiroptera; Pteropodidae.